UGCUGAAGACUCCGGGGCUUUUUGGAAAAAGCACAGCACAGUGCAGCUCAUCAGCUGGAGUUCCCCUGACACUCAAAUGUGGACUGCUGUUGAGAGAUGCUGACAGUGUUAUGGACAGGCAAGAUCUUAGUCUACCACUGUGCCCUGUCCCCAGAAAGGGAAUAUUCUGCCACCCACCUCUUGACCUCCUGCAGCUCUAACUUGCAAGUGAUGGCUGUCAAACCAGGGACUUGACUCCCAAACCAGGGACUUCUGAGGAGCUACUUCGGGCCUGUUCAGCUCCAGCUUUGCCUCCAAACAGUUGCUCAAUAUGAAGCAACACCUUUCUUCAGGCCAGCUUCACGAUGAGAGUCUGCACUGAUUUUGCUGAGCAGCCCACUGAUCCCUUCCUCAUUAGUGAAAUCCUGCCCAAACCACCAAGUGUUCUCAGGAUUUCUCACAUAUUUUGUUCAGAGGAUGUGAUUCCUGCUGUUCCAGAAGCACUUUACCUGUCAAGUCACAGGCAGCUGCUUAUCCUCACAGAUCUUCAGGAUGGCCAGCAGCUAUUUCUGCAAACUGGUGUAUCCUUGACUUAAAAGGCAAAUAUCAUCUC
Long non-coding RNA from Catharus ustulatus (Swainson's thrush), 592 nucleotides. RefSeq lists it as uncharacterized. NCBI's taxonomy places the organism in Eukaryota, Metazoa, Chordata, Aves, Passeriformes, Turdidae. The record is from RefSeq and is a predicted model, not a curated record. The transcript has 3 exons.